CUGCUGCCUUCCGUAGGAGUUUGGGCCGUGUCUCAGUCCCAAUGUGGCCGUCCACCCUCUCAGGCCGGCUACUGAUCGUCGCCUUGGUGGGCCGUUACCCCGCCAACAAGCUAAUCAGACGCGGGUCCAUCUUACACCACCGGAGUUUUUCACACAAAUCCAUGCGGCUUCGUGCGCUUAUGCGGUAUUAGCACCUAUUUCUAAGUGUUACUCCCCCAGUGUAAGGCAGGUUACCCACGCGUUACUCCACCCGUCCGCCACUAAGUUAA
Molecule: ribosomal RNA, 269 nt
Filed under: uncultured bacterium
Lineage: Bacteria
Description: partial 16S ribosomal RNA
Source: RNAcentral